AUACGUAGGUGGCAAGCGUUGUCCGGAUUUACUGGGUGUAAAGGGCGUGUAGGCGGAGAUGCAAGUCAGGAGUGAAAUCUAGGGGCUCAACCCCUAAACUGCUUUUGAAACUGUAUCCCUUGAGUAUCGGAGAGGCAGGCGGAAUUCCUAGUGUAGCGGUGAAAUGCGUAGAUAUUAGGAGGAACACCAGUGGCGAAGGCGGCCUGCUGGACGACAACUGACGCUGAGUCGCGAAAGCGUGGGGAGCAAACAGGAUUAGAUGCCCUGGUAGUCCACGCUGUAAACGAUGAAUACUAGGUGUGGGGGGACUGACCCCCUCCGUGCCGCAGUUAACACAAUAAGUAUUCCACCUGGGGAGUACGAUCGCAAGAUUGAAACUCAAAUGAAUUGACGGGG
This 396-nucleotide ribosomal RNA is filed under the name uncultured bacterium. RNAcentral's name for it is "partial 16S ribosomal RNA". It matches the Rfam family "Bacterial small subunit ribosomal RNA", at positions 523 to 918 of the family's 1533-position model. The record is from RNAcentral.